CACCGGGGGCCGUGGAGGUCCGACUGACGAACCCCGCCAGGGCAGGAAUGCAGCAACGGUAGUCUGCUUGUCCCUGCCGCGGUUUCCCGGUGUCCU
RNAcentral lists this signal recognition particle RNA (96 nucleotides) under Chthoniobacterales bacterium. RNAcentral's name for it is "signal recognition particle sRNA small type". It matches the Rfam family "Bacterial small signal recognition particle RNA". From Rfam's summary of the family: The signal recognition particle (SRP) is a universally conserved ribonucleoprotein involved in the co-translational targeting of proteins to membranes. Archaeal SRP consists of a 7S RNA and homologues of the eukaryotic SRP19 and SRP54 proteins. In most bacteria, the SRP consists of a 4.5S RNA and the Ffh protein (a homologue of the eukaryotic SRP54 protein). Lineage: Bacteria; Pseudomonadati; Verrucomicrobiota; Spartobacteria; Chthoniobacterales. The record is from RNAcentral.